UCUCUGUGUACCUGAGGCCUUUUGAAGCUGCAAAGCAACGAACACACCAGAAGCAAACCAACCUCUCACAAAUUAUUCCCCAGCUGUGACUGAUUCCAGCAAAACACCUUGUGUCUGAUCUACAAAGCCCGAGCUGAUCUGCACGUCCAACCAAAGCGGGUCCUUCCUCAUCACAUGCUUGUGCUGCCAGAGCAGGGGAUGUGGAUAAUACUUUAGAGCUGCUACAAACGCUUCGGAAAAGACUCUGCCGUGGUAGCAAACAGCUGGUGUAGCUAAUCCACUUUCCAAGCACAUUUGCAAGAUACAUAAUUAAGAGUUCUGUUGAGGGGCGAAGCGAAGCAAGCCAUUAGAUUUGUUUAUAAUAUUCUGGGUAGUGUAAUACUCACGCAGGAUAUCCCUUUCCUGCAAAAGACAUUAAGAUGAUCCUCAGGAAAUGUCCCUGGGAUUUCCUGAUGAUGCCUACAUGACAUUAAAUUUGUACACAAACUGGGAUGGUUUGAGGAAGAGGAUGAGCAAGUUCCUUCAGCCUCAUCAUGGCAGCACAAGCCUGUUGACAAGCUACGUGUGUUUCACCUGCUAUUAACUUGCUGCUCGAUGACAAGCGACUAUUUCUUCCAGAGCAAACGAACACUGUCCAGGUUGAAAUUAGCCUGGUUGUGGCCCAUGUCCAAAGCAAUGUUUGUGUUUGUAUGUCUCUGAGUUCAGGGCAGCUGUUGCAAUGUGGCACUAUGGAUUGGGUCUGCAAAGGGAGGCUGCAUGAGGGAAGAGCAGGCACGAAAUACCUGUUUUUGCUUUAUAAAAACUUCCCUGUGGUCUCUACUUUGUCUGCAAGACCCACCUAGCACCUCCCAGUGAGGUCUACUGGGAAUCCCCUCAUGGCAGGGGGAGAGAGUUGGUUUGAGUGGGGGGGAAAAGUCCCUGAUCAUCACAGGGGAGUUGGACUAAAUGACCCUUAAGGACUCCUUCCAGCUCAAAUGGUUCUACGGUUCUUUGAAAUGAGAGGUGCCCAUGGCUCUGUGCCCUUAGGGUGCAGCAGAAAAGAGAAGUGAAGCCAGGUGAUGCAUCCCAGCACUUUUGCUACUGGAGGAGGAUAUGCAGACGUUGCUGCUGUGCAGAGUGGUCUGGAGGUGUGCUCAAGCUCCCAAACACCCUGAGCCUUGCUCUACACCUACUCUGACUCUGUGUGCUUUCAUGCAGGUUCCACAGCUCUGUGUGUUUCUCGCCGUGUUUCCAUUCUGUCGAACACUCAGAGCCUGCCCUGCACGCAUUUCGGAAGCGAAGGACUUUCCUAAUUACAGUGCGAACAAUCCGAGGUGGGCUCCUGUCUGUCUAACUGUCAGGGAGAAUAAGUCAGCGGUGAGUCAGAAGCAGAGAUGUGGAAAUGAUGCGGGAGAAAGGGAAUAGUCUGUGCUGGGCUUAAUCACAGGGGCCAGGUGCUUUACAUUUCUUCCAACAAAACUCUGUUUGCUGCGGGCGCCUGAGGCUAGCUGAGGCGGGCAGCAUAGCCGGGGCUCAUCAGGCUCACUUGCCUCCUGGGCGCUGUCUUUCACUUGGUUGGGCAUUGGCAUCUCUGCACCCAUCGCAUCGCACCCACUCCUUGUUCUGCGUGCGCUCCCGGAGCGGCCGAGGUGCACCAUGCAGCCUUCCCUUGGAAGCUGUUUGCUUUGUCAUCAUUACUACUAUUUUACUAUUCUUUAUUACUAUCAGCAGUAAUGCAAGCCCUUUGCCUAUAGAAAGGAUUUUUUUGUUGUUGUUGCUUCUUCUGGAGGGAUCCAGGAAUU
Long non-coding RNA from Lagopus leucura (white-tailed ptarmigan), 1781 nucleotides. RefSeq lists it as uncharacterized. The transcript is spliced from 3 exons. The record is from RefSeq and is a predicted model, not a curated record. NCBI's taxonomy places the organism in Eukaryota, Metazoa, Chordata, Aves, Galliformes, Phasianidae.